This 468-nucleotide ribosomal RNA is filed under the name uncultured bacterium. RNAcentral's name for it is "partial 16S ribosomal RNA". It matches the Rfam family "Bacterial small subunit ribosomal RNA", at positions 28 to 507 of the family's 1533-position model. The record is from RNAcentral.
GACGAACGCUGGCGGCGUGCUUAACACAUGCAAGUCGAACGGAAAGGCCCUGCUUUUGUGGGGUGCUCGAGUGGCGAACGGGUGAGUAACACGUGAGUAACCUGCCCUUGACUUUGGGAUAACUUCAGGAAACUGGGGCUAAUACCGGAUAGGAGCUCCUGCUGCAUGGUGGGGGUUGGAAAGUUUCGGCGGUUGGGGAUGGACUCGCGGCUUAUCAGCUUGUUGGUGGGGUAGUGGCUUACCAAGGCUUUGACGGGUAGCCGGCCUGUGAGGGUGACCGGCCACAUUGGGACUGAGAAACGGCCCAGACUCCUACGGGAGGCAGCAGUGGGGAAUAUUGAACAAUGGGCGGAAGCCUGAUGCAGCAACGCCGCGUGCGGGAUGACGGCCUUCGGGUUGUAAACCGCUUUCGCCUGUGACGAAGCGUGAGUGACGGUAAUGGGUAAAGAAGCACCGGCUAACUACGUG